Molecule: ribosomal RNA, 256 nt
Filed under: uncultured bacterium
Lineage: Bacteria
Description: partial 16S ribosomal RNA
Rfam family: Bacterial small subunit ribosomal RNA
Source: RNAcentral
CACGUAGGGGGCAAGCGUUGUCCGGAUUCAUUGGGCGUAAAGAGCUCGUAGGCGGUUCGAUAAGUCGGGUGUGAAACCUCCAGGCUCAACCUGGAGACGCCACCCGAUACUGUCGUGACUAGAGUCCAGUAGGGGAGCGUGGAAUUCCUGGUGUAGCGGUGAAAUGCGCAGAUAUCAGGAGGAACACCAGUAGGCGAAGGCGGACUCGUGGGACCGUAUGACAUGCGCUGAGGACGAAAGCGUGGGGAGCAACAGG